ACGGAAGGCAGCAGUGGGGAAUAUUGGGCAAUGGGCGCAAGCCUGACCCAGCAACGCCGCGUGAAGGAAGAAGGUUUUCGGAUUGUAAACUUCUGUCCUUGGUGAAGAAGAAAGUGACGGUAGCCAAGGAGGAAGCCACGGCUAACUACGUGCCAGCAGCCGCGAUAAUACGUAGGUGGCAAGCGUUAUCCGGAUUUACUGGGUGUAAAGGGAGCGCAGGCGGGACAGCAAGUUGGAUGUGAAAUACCGAGGCUUAACCACGGAGCUGCAUCCAAAACUGUUGUUCUUGAGUGAAGUAGAGGUAGGCGGAAUUCCGAGUGUAGCGGUGAAAUGCGUAGAUAUUCGGAGGAACGCCAGUGGCGAAGGCGGCCUACUGGGCUUUAACUGACGCUGAGGCUCGAAAGUGUGGGGAGCAAACAGGAUUAGAUACCCUGGUA
RNAcentral lists this ribosomal RNA (437 nucleotides) under uncultured Clostridium sp. Its description in RNAcentral is "partial 16S ribosomal RNA". It matches the Rfam family "Bacterial small subunit ribosomal RNA", at positions 341 to 792 of the family's 1533-position model. Lineage: Bacteria; Bacillati; Bacillota; Clostridia; Eubacteriales; Clostridiaceae. The record is from RNAcentral.